Molecule: long non-coding RNA, 2435 nt
Organism: Rhinichthys klamathensis goyatoka
Lineage: Eukaryota; Metazoa; Chordata; Actinopteri; Cypriniformes; Leuciscidae
Exons: 7
Source: RefSeq, a predicted model, not a curated record
AGACCCCAUCAGAGACCAGAACAGCAUUUAACGUGCCAGGCAGGGUUCGUGCACGGCCUGUUAUUAAACAGAAAUGCCCAAUGUGCAGUACCCUCAUGAAUAAAAAAAAUAUAAAAAAACAUAUUGACCAUAAACACACAAAUCAACCAAUUCAGGACAUUAAUGCCAGAUUCCACCUUGCAAGCCAGUGUGUAGACAAAACAAAUGGCAUAUUCACAGUGCUUAAAGUUGCAAGUGGUCAGAGUAGUCCUCUGCAUGUCCAAUACAAAACAUGGGGAGAACAACAAAAAGUCUGCUGCGAAUCAAACGAAUGCCAAGUAAACAUGGAAGUAGCACAGAGGAGUGGUCUGUUAUCCUAUCAGUGUAUGCAUGUCAGAUCUGUAAGUUUCUGCACAUCCUCAGCUGAAGCAGUCUCUCUAAAGGAAGACGUUUUAAUGGAAAUGGUGAGAGCAAAGUGGUUUGGUGAUGAGAAGAAAAACAUUUGCCUUGCUCGUCAGCAGCUUGCUGUUUCUAGCAGUAUACCACUGUCUGUAGAAACCUCAAUUGGCAGUCCUCAAACAAAAAAGUUCAUCUCCGUUUUUGAGCCAAAUGUGUCCUAUUAUAGCCGGUUGGGGCGUGUCAUUGUUGUUUACAACACCAAAUUAAACACAUGGCACUGCCCCUGUUCCAAAGUGCGCCGUUCAUGUCCGCAUAAGUACAUUGCGAAAUGGCAUCUAUUUCAAACAGACCGUGAGCUUUUCCGUACUGUCUUCAGCAGAGAAGAAUCCCCACCCCAAAAGGCUCAUACACAUUCAGAGGAGAGCAACGUCACAGAAGACCAUCCAUUGUAUCCUCCACAUGAUCUGGGACUGAAACAAAUGGUACAGUACAUUUUACAGAACAAGAUGAUACCUGCUGUCCUACCAGAAAAUAUACGUGCACCAUCACUAGGCAAAGACUACUAAAAAUAUCUUUGUCCAGAAGAAACUGUGUGUCAUAGAUGCCCAGGUGUCGUCCCCCUUAGUGACCCUAUUUUAAUAACAAAGAGAGCUAAAAUACUCUCCAACUGGUGCAUUGUUGAAGAAGUAUCAACCUACUGUAAGCAGUGCCCACUGUGUGGAAUGUUUUAUCGCUACCAAGAGUGGAAAGACCAACUCCACAACUUUAACGACCACAUCAUCCUUGACAUACACUUAAUGCUUAACUUUAAGAAACCUUCUACAGGCCCAUACUGCUGUGAGCAGAGCAGUCGAGUUUUUGCAAGAUUUGACAGGUCUGAAAUUUCCACCAGCAGACACCGUGCUUCAUGCAUACUUGCACUUUGAGGCCCUUACUGAUCAUGAGUACAAGUAUUCCUGCAUUACUUGUGGUGAUCAUCCCCCUGUGGUGAUCAUGGAUUUACACAAAAAAGGUGUUUUCCAUUUAUCAGUAAGUGACAUCCAGAGUCCUGCAGAGAAUUUUGAUGGGGAGGUCAACCUGGAAUAGUUUUGGGAGGCCAUGUCCUGUGAUAUGAUUGGUCGUGGAUUUGUUGCAAGUGGUAGACACAAUUCAUGUGCGGUAUCACCAACAUACCAUUUUUGGGCUCCUUGGAUAGGGAAAGCCACACGGCGUUCAGACUCUGUACUAAACACAGAGUUUGAAAAGAUUCAUGUUUCAAAGUCUGUAUCUGAAAUUUCUGAAAUUACGGUUACAGAGGACAGACUCAGAGAAGAAAUAUACAAACAAAAGGUUGUGGUCAUUCGGAAGUUAUGUAAAGAAUGUGGCUUGGACUCCAAUGGAUCCCGCAGUGAUCUUCUUCAGAGGUUGUCAAAUGAAAUGAAAUCCAGACAAACGUAUGACAAAAUCUUUGACAAAAUAUGGGGGGCCUCUGGAGGCUGGGCAGUGAUCAUGUGCCCAUGUGGGAUUGUUUACAGUAUCAAAUGCAAUCUCCGAGCUGAGAGCCCUCGAGACUUCGCAGACUUACUAUUAUCCUGGAAGCAUAUGCCAAAUGUCAUAAUUUAUGACUUUGCACGGGGUCUUGCAACUCACUUGAAUUUAAGGGCAUCAGAAGAGGUACCUAUCUCAUCCAUUUGAGGGUCGCUUGGCAGAACCCACUCAAUCCAACAUCGAAUUGGCCAAAUGUGGACAGCUUAAAGUGUCGCUACCUUGGCUGAACACUAAGAAGACAGAGCCAGACCUUAAUGGUCACCCAGUUACGGGUACAUCGGAUCACUAUGUGCUGUAUGAUCGGUUUCAUGAAGCCAAUACAAAAGACAGCAAAGAUGUGUUGAGGAAGCUCACUCUAGUACCUCAAUUGGCUGGCAAAGUGAAUAGCCAGGUUGCAGAGCAACUCUUCGCAAAGAUGAAAAAAAAAAAACUACUUUUUGAACAUGUCUUUGCCAUCGACCCAUCUCUUUUAAAUGAGGAACAUAAUUCAUCACUAUAAUGAAAAGAAAAACAACAAAUUGCUGGAAAGA